Molecule: non-coding RNA, 1109 nt
Organism: Nicotiana tabacum (common tobacco)
Lineage: Eukaryota; Viridiplantae; Streptophyta; Magnoliopsida; Solanales; Solanaceae
Source: RefSeq, a predicted model, not a curated record
UAUUUUCUUCUAUCUUUUCUCUCUUUGAGGGUUUAACAUAUGAAGCCUUGGAUUUCUUCUAUUUUUUUGGUUCAUUUCAAUCACAGAAACGUGAAGAAACCAAAAAAUUAGGGGAGGAAGAAGAGGAAACUGGAAAAGGAAGGUGAAUAGGAAUAAGAGCAAUAGCAGAGAAAUCAUGACAUGGUGCAAUGAAUCAAAUGAUCAAGAAUCACUCCAAUUAAUCAAAGCUACAUCAGAGGAAAAAAGUGUUAUAAUCUCAAAAGUUGAUCAUCAAGUUAGAACAAUAACUUGCCCUUCAUGUGGCCAUAGCAUUGAGCUUCAAAAUCAGAGGGGAAUACAUGAUUUGCCUGGUCUACCAGCUGGAGUGAAGUUUGAUCCUUCUGAUCAAGAAAUUCUUGAGCAUUUAAAAGCAAAGGUAUUUUCAGAUACUCAUAAGCUUCAUCCUCUAAUUAACGAAUUCAUUCCAACCAUUGAUGGAGAAAAUGGAAUUUGCUACACUCAUCCAGAGAAAUUACCAGGUAAUUUCCUUUAUUUAUUAAUUCAAAUUCUACGACCUGUCAAUGAAAAGAAAAAACCAAAAAGAGAAGAUUCAUCAUGUUUUCUUGUCCUAAUUUUAUUCCUUUGUUAUGGAUUUAUAUUCUGAAUAUUGUCAUUUAAGGCAAAAACAUAUUAUUCGACGUGCUUGUGUAUAAUGUUUAAUAGAGUUUAAGUUCAUAGUGUAAAAGAUAGUUGUAUGGUCAUGUUACUUAAAAGGUAAUUACAGACAUAUUUAUAUAGUAAACAUUAAUUGAUAACCUAAUACUAUCGAAAAUAACUCCUAGAAAGGUGAAUUUAUACGGAUAAUAUUUUAAAAAAAUUACAUUGUUAAUAUAUACAGCUUAUAUCAUUUUAAUAUAGGGUAAAAAGUGGUGAUAAUUGCGUGGGGUGUUACUAACUAGUUUGAAGUUAAAAGUUUGCCUAAUUUAGCUAAUCCAUAGUCUCUUUUACGUACUAUUAUUAUUCUUUCCUUUUCUUCUUAGUCUUUCAAUCGUGAACUCGUCAACCUAACGUACAAUGGGAAUUUUGUUGUGGAACUUGGCGUAGCUAGAAGGUGAGGUACAUAGUCAGGG